Lathyrus oleraceus (garden pea) is the source of this 732-nucleotide long non-coding RNA. RefSeq lists it as uncharacterized. The record is from RefSeq and is a predicted model, not a curated record. The transcript has 5 exons. Lineage: Eukaryota; Viridiplantae; Streptophyta; Magnoliopsida; Fabales; Fabaceae.
ACACUCAAUAAUGCAAGUAGCAUUCCCUUUUUCAAACUUUCCUAUACUCUUCGAAAUACUUUACAUUUUCUCCACCUACCCAAAACUUCCUUUCAACAAUUGGUGAUAUUCUAAUAUCGACUUAAUCUUGUUUUAAAUUAUGCAACUUCAUCCUAACAGUUGAAGAUGAAGUUUAUUCAUUCGGCAAAAAAAUUUACGGUGCAAUCUGAUUGGUCUCUUGUCAGAGUUGUAUUUUUAUUUUCAACGACCGUGAUUUCCUUGAUUAAAUAUGUUCCCAAGGCAUUGUUACUCAACGAGUAUGAUCUUCACAGCUGGAAAACCAAGGUGUGUGCCUGGAAUGAAGAAAUAUCGUGGGAGAAACACCUACGUAUUGGAGUCCAGGAGGCCAUCUCCAGUGUAUCGCAGAACUGGUUAUAGUUGAUAUUCAAAAUGUAAUGGAUGCAUUUGCAAGUGUUGAUAUUCAUGUCUUCCAUCACAUUGCAAAUGAAUUCACAUGUGAUAUGAAUAGAGAUGAUAUACACAGCUAGAGGAAGACAGCAUUUGUUUGAUAUAGAGCAAGAGGAAGACAACAUUUGUGUGAUAGGAACAUAGAUGAUAUGUACACCAAAAAAAAAAAGAUAACAUUUGUAUGAUAGAAACACACAUUAUAUAUACAACUAUAGGAAGAAGUAUUUCACUGUUUUUAUUUUAUUUUAUUGUCUUAAGGUUAAAUAUAAAGACAAUUCACAUGUA